Molecule: ribosomal RNA, 253 nt
Filed under: uncultured bacterium
Lineage: Bacteria
Description: partial 16S ribosomal RNA
Rfam family: Bacterial small subunit ribosomal RNA
Source: RNAcentral
GACGAACCGUCCAAACGUUAUUCGGAAUCACUGGGCUUAAAGGGUGCGUAGGCGGCGCGGAAAGUUGGGUGUGAAAUACCUCGGCUUAACCGAGGAACUGCGCCCAAAACUACCGUGCUUGAGGAAGAUAGAGGUGAGCGGAACUUAGGGUGGAGCGGUGAAAUGCGUUGAUAUCCUAAGGAACACCGGUGGCGAAAGCGGCUCACUGGAUCUUUUCUGACGCUGAGGCACGAAAGCUAGGGUAGCGAACGGG